CCUACGGGAGGCAGCAGUGAGGAAUAUUGGUCAAUGGUCGGGAGACUGAACCAGCCAAGCCGCGUGAGGGAUGAAGGUACAGAGUAUCGUAAACCUCUUUUGUCAGGGAACAAAGGCGGGGACGUGUCCCCGUAUGAGUGUACCUGACGAUAAAGCAUCGGCUAAAUCCGUGCCAGCAGCCGCGGUAAGACCGAGGAUGCGAGCGUUAUCCGGAUUUAUUGGGUUUAAAGUGUGCGCAGGCGGUCUGUUAAGUCAGCGGUCAAAGCCCGGGGCUCAACCCCGGCCCGCUGUGGAGACUGGCAGUCUAGAGUUGGAGAGAGGUAUGCGGAAUGCGCGGUGUAGCGGUGAAAUGCAUAGAUAUCGGGAAGAACUCCGAUUGCGAAGGCAGCAUGCCGGCUCCACACUGACGCUGAGGCACGAAAGCGUGGGUAUCGAACAGGAUUAGAUACCCGAGUAGUC
This 459-nucleotide ribosomal RNA is filed under the name uncultured bacterium. RNAcentral's name for it is "partial 16S ribosomal RNA". It matches the Rfam family "Bacterial small subunit ribosomal RNA", at positions 338 to 795 of the family's 1533-position model. The record is from RNAcentral.